This 253-nucleotide ribosomal RNA is filed under the name uncultured bacterium. RNAcentral describes it as "partial 16S ribosomal RNA". It matches the Rfam family "Bacterial small subunit ribosomal RNA", at positions 524 to 776 of the family's 1533-position model. The record is from RNAcentral.
UACGUAGGAGGCAAGCGUUGUCCGGAGUUACUGGGCGUAAAGCGCACGCAGGCGGUCGUUUAAGUCUGGGGUGACAGUUCCCGGCCUAACCGGGAAAGUGCUCUGGAAACUGGAUGACUUGAGGGCUUCAGAGGGAUGUGGAAUUCCAGGUGGAGUGGUGAAAUGCGUAGAGAUCUGGAAGAACACCAAAGGCGAAGGCAGCAUCCUGGGAAGUACCUGACGCUCGGGUGCGAAAGCUAGGGGAGCGAACGGG